UCGACCGCGACCCCAGGUCAGACGGGAUUACCCGCUGAGUUUAAGCAUAUCAAUAAGCGGUGGAGAAGAAAC
Molecule: ribosomal RNA, 72 nt
Filed under: Plantago nubicola
Lineage: Eukaryota; Viridiplantae; Streptophyta; Magnoliopsida; Lamiales; Plantaginaceae
Also listed under: 1 other name
Description: partial 28S ribosomal RNA
Rfam family: Eukaryotic large subunit ribosomal RNA
Source: RNAcentral